AAAAGUAUUGGGAAUGAAGUUCUCCCAUAGUAUUCUUUUAUGCUAAAACCGCUGAAUUUAGGCUGAUGACUUCUGUGAUUAU
Regulatory RNA element from Clostridium cadaveris, 82 nucleotides. It matches the Rfam family "Fluoride riboswitch aptamer (crcB RNA motif)". The record is from Rfam. Lineage: Bacteria; Bacillati; Bacillota; Clostridia; Eubacteriales; Clostridiaceae.